UACGUAGGGGGCUAGCGUUGUCCGGAAUCAUUGGGCGUAAAGAGCGUGUAGGCGGUCCGGUAAGUCCGCUGUGAAAGUCGGGGGCUCAACCCUCGAAUGCCGGUGGAUACUGUCGGGCUAGAGGAUGGUAGAGGCGAGUGGAAUUCCCGGUGUAGCGGUGAAAUGCGCAGAUAUUGGGAGGAACACCAGUAGCGAAGGCGGCUCGCUGGGCCAUUCCUGACGCUGAGACGCGAAAGCUAGGGGAGCGAACAGG
RNAcentral lists this ribosomal RNA (253 nucleotides) under uncultured bacterium. Its description in RNAcentral is "partial 16S ribosomal RNA". It matches the Rfam family "Bacterial small subunit ribosomal RNA", at positions 524 to 776 of the family's 1533-position model. The record is from RNAcentral.